GGAGGGUACAGCUCAAGUGGUAGAGCACAUGCUUAGCAUGCACGAGGUCCUGGAUUCAACCCCCAGUCCCUCCU
Non-coding RNA from Camelus ferus (Wild Bactrian camel), 74 nucleotides. The record is from Rfam. NCBI's taxonomy places the organism in Eukaryota, Metazoa, Chordata, Mammalia, Artiodactyla, Camelidae.